Melanaphis sacchari is the source of this 578-nucleotide long non-coding RNA. RefSeq lists it as uncharacterized. The record is from RefSeq and is a predicted model, not a curated record. The transcript is spliced from 4 exons. NCBI's taxonomy places the organism in Eukaryota, Metazoa, Arthropoda, Insecta, Hemiptera, Aphididae.
UUUCACAUAACAAUAUCAAAUAUCAGUCAUUAGUAGUUUUAAUACUGUGUUACCAUUUUCCUAUAUGCCUUUAUAUGAUGUCAAAAUCAGUUGAACCAUUAAACGCAUUUUAUCAUUACGGAUUUUAAACGUGUCAUAUAUUUAUAAAUUUUUCAAGACACUUUGAUAUGCAGUGUUAAAGUUAAUUUAGAAACGAGAUUUGUAAUGACCAACCAUAGAGGUUAGCUAGAAAAAAAAUAUCCUAUAGAAGGGGAAUUUGUUAUCGUAUACUUCUGUGAGCUGUCUGUGAUUUUCAUCAAAGUUCAUAUAAUGUGAGAAAGUUCGUGUUCACUAUUAUAUUUAUUUUAAGAUAAAAGUCUUGUGUCAAUGGAAAGAAUCGAGGUAUUCAUUGAGACUCACAGUGAAUGAUUUUACAUUAAAAAUUAAGAUAAUUGACAAUUCUUUUCUAAUGUUCAAUUUGUUCAUACAGAUGUCUGAUCAAAAAAAUUUGGUAACGCGACAAUGUCCUAGAUAAAUAUUUUAAUGGCGAUUAGAUAAUAUAAUAGGUGAAGUAAAUUGCAAAUAUUUUUUUUCAAACA